AAAAUUGUGGCCUACGAAGUACCAUUUCUCCACAAUGAAGAACUUGGAGUUCUUGGAGUCAGACCCCUUCAAAUCACUGGGAGAUGGCAAGAGAGCUUCUUCUUCAUAAACCUCUACCAAUGGUGCAGGUGAAAUCAACAACUUGGGGACUUUUGCUUCAACCCUGGACUUACUAAUUCACUAUGCAGACCACCCUGAGGGUCAAGUAGCUACCGACAGGAAGCACUGCUGUGGGGGGACCCCAAGCUGAAGAGGAGCAAGCUCUCUCUUAUAAGCUAAAUGACAUGAAGGCUUCUUAAUCUCUGUGACUAUUUCUCUCUGUCACCUCUGAGAUGUGGGCAAUCUUUUCAACUGUUCCACCUGGUUUCAGCAGAACCGUUAAGGAAUGAAGAGGUGACUAAAGAUGAUGCCCUUUUGAUCAGACCACUGGGAAGUGGGGGGCCUCCCCAGAGGCCCAGCAUUGUGAUAACAGAGAUAAUAAAAGACUCCCCAAAAGGGAGCUGAACACCUGGGAAAAACAGAUGGGGUAAUGAGCUUAGGUAUCUCUCCCUAAAAAGAGAGUUCCUCUCCAUGCUAGUUUGGAAGGAUUGGGGCUUGAGUAUAGUAAGGUCCUCUUACAUGAAAGUGCUCAAAGAGCAGUCAUUAUCUAACCCAUGCCAUACAUUUAUAUCCUCGGUAUAUUACAGUGGUUUAUAUUUAUAACAACAGCUCCAGCUGGACUCAGUGGCUCAUGCCUGUAAUUCCAAUACUUUAGGAGGCCGAGAUGGGAGGAUCGCUUGAGGCCAAGAGUUGGAGACCAGUCUGGACAACAUAGGGAGACCCUUAUCUCUACAAAAAUUUUAAAAAAUAGCUGGGCAUAAUGGUGUGCACCCAUGGUCCUAGCUACUUGGUAGGCUGAGGUGGGAGGAUUGCUUGAGCCCAGGAGUUUGAGACUGCAGUGAGCUAUGAUCGUGCCAGCCUGUGCUCCAGCCUUGAUGACAGAGGAAGACCCUGUUUCUAUAAAAAAGAGAAACAAGCAAAACAGCCCUAUGUCAUAAAAGAUAAAAGUAUAUUCUGUAAAAUCUAAUAAUGUAGGAAAAUGUACAGGACAUUUAAGAAAAAUAUUCAUUAAUAAAACAUUAUGUAUUACAAAAUGGUAUCUGAAGAACUCAUAUCCAAUUAUCUGGUAAAAUUCAACUAUCCGGAAUGUCAUUCUUCAAGGGUUCUGGAUAGCUAAGUUUUUAAUAUAUCACUAUAUAACUACACUCAAUGUGCAAACUGACCUAUGGUCAACCGAACCACAAUUCCUUUUGAGAACACAUUUUAGAGCAAGGAGCUGGAGCGAGGGAAUCAGUGUCAAAGAUGG
This 1345-nucleotide long non-coding RNA is filed under the name Homo sapiens (human). RNAcentral describes it as "HSALNT0218708". Lineage: Eukaryota; Metazoa; Chordata; Mammalia; Primates; Hominidae. The record is from RNAcentral.